AUGGCGGGGUUUAGGAAGAUUCUUUUGUUAAAAUGUUUUCUUUCAUUAUUUGAUUUAUUUUUCUGUGAAAAACAACCUGAUACUUUGAAUGUUUUAAGCAUCCUUCUUCCUUAUUCUACGGCAGGCUCAGUAACUUUCAAUGUCAUUUGUGCUGAUGUAUUGGUCAACAAAAUAAAUCGUAUUCAAAUCCAAACUACAACACGUGAACUUUUACUGGGAAAAUCACCAGAAGUUCUUCAAGUCUUCGCUUAUGGUGAUACAGAUAAUUUAUUUUCUUCAAUUGAUGGCCUUGUCUUUGACUGGCAACUUAUUACUAUUCCUGGAUCUUUGGAUGCCUCCAGCAUAUUAAGGAUUGUCCCAUUUGCUGAAUCAAUUAAUGAAACCUCAGCUGCUAUUUAUGCUUUAGAAGCCGAGGGUUUAAGGGGGCAGCAGUAUCAUUGUUGAAGGCAUAACAACAGGAACAGCGCUGGUCAGAGCAAAAUUAAGUCAUCCAACCUUCCAGGAUGUUCAAUCUGACGAAGUAAAGUUAUUGGUGAUUGAUAACUUAAUAAUUCCAUCGAGGGAUGUCUACAUUAUGAUAAAUACUGCUGUCAAAUACACAGUCAAAAGAUUUCGACAAAACGCUAUGAUAGAUGUCGAAAUGCCGUCAACACAAUUUGAGUUUGUUCUAAGCAAUACAACUGUUGCAGUUCUUCAUUAAACAUCAUCUAAUUUUAUUGGUCGUGUUCUUGGUUAUACACAAGUUACCCUCGUUGAUAAAAACAUGAAAGAUCAAAUAUCUACAAGACAACCAACAGCUUAUAUUUAUGUUGAUGAACCUCAUCUAGGUAAUUCUUGAAUUCAUAACUGUUUAAAAUGAUUAUGGACGUCGUGA
Molecule: long non-coding RNA, 874 nt
Organism: Xenia sp. Carnegie-2017
Lineage: Eukaryota; Metazoa; Cnidaria; Anthozoa; Malacalcyonacea; Xeniidae
Exons: 7
Source: RefSeq, a predicted model, not a curated record